RNAcentral lists this non-coding RNA (237 nucleotides) under Acidobacterium capsulatum. Lineage: Bacteria; Pseudomonadati; Acidobacteriota; Terriglobia; Terriglobales; Acidobacteriaceae. The record is from RNAcentral. RNAcentral also lists the same sequence under 1 other name.
UAUUCGUAAACGCUUUGGGAUGUUCGGGAAGGCGGUGAAAAUCCGCCACUGCCCCGCAACUGUAAGCGCGUUCGUGUGCUUUCUCGUCUGUUGAAUACAGAGGGCACACAGAGGUCCGGGCGUAGGAUGCCACUGGAGCAGAUGCUCCGGGAAGGUGAUUCCGCGAUGCCGCCCGGCUUCGAUUCCACAGGGAAUGAGCGCCUAAGUCAGGAGACCGGUCCCAUGCGCCUUUUUCAC